ACCGUGCACUGCCUUAGCGGACAUAGCUUAGUUGGUAAAGCGCGACCUUGCCAAGGUCGAGACCGCGGGUUCG
Molecule: transfer RNA, 73 nt
Filed under: Bifidobacterium animalis subsp. lactis Bl12
Lineage: Bacteria; Bacillati; Actinomycetota; Actinomycetes; Bifidobacteriales; Bifidobacteriaceae
Description: tRNA-Gly
Rfam family: tRNA (bases 17-73)
About the family: Transfer RNA (tRNA) molecules are approximately 80 nucleotides in length. Their secondary structure includes four short double-helical elements and three loops (D, anti-codon, and T loops).
Source: RNAcentral